GUUCGGGUAAGAAUCGAAUGCUUUAAAAAUUAGCAGUCCAUCUUUUAAAUCAUCUUGCAGGAAUUGUACGACGAGAUGCAGAUCGUUGCAGAUACGCGCGCGCGCAUUAUUGUCAUAAGAGAGAGAGAGAGAGAGAGAGAAAGGGAGGGGCGAGGGGAAACACGACACUCAAAUCUGGUCUCUCAAAAAUGAUUAAAAACUUCAUCAAUAAAUUAAAUCUAUAAAAUCUCCAAACACACACAUUUCUGAAAUUAUCAUCGCUGACAUUGAAAAUGAUUAAUAUUCUAUCUACUAAUAAAAUUUGGUAAUGAAUAUUUUUCGAAAGUAAUGUAAUCACAGGACACUCUCAUUGUAGUUAUCCAGGUCUUGUUCGCUACAAUUGUUCUUGGUCAUUUCUAUACCGUGAUUUAAAGGGGAGCCAAACACUGAUCGAUAAAAGGAUUCUUCGUAAAAGAUGUUUGACUCAUCCGGGAAUCGAACUUUGCACCCUGCUUCAGAACAUUCGAAUGCUGGUUACUGGUCGAAGAAACAUCGUCACUUAACUUUUCGCCAGUUAAACACGUUUCGUUAGCAUAUUAAUAGCGUAUUGUACUUUAUUGUUCGAUAAAAACGCACAGUACGGCGCGCCAUGCGUGUAAGCUUGAUAAAAGGAACAAAUAGAAAUAGAAGAAG
Long non-coding RNA from Bombus huntii, 672 nucleotides. RefSeq lists it as uncharacterized. The record is from RefSeq and is a predicted model, not a curated record. Lineage: Eukaryota; Metazoa; Arthropoda; Insecta; Hymenoptera; Apidae. The transcript is spliced from 4 exons.